This 248-nucleotide long non-coding RNA is filed under the name Elaeis guineensis (African oil palm). Its description in RNAcentral is "long non-coding RNA (EGUI_LNC013149)". Lineage: Eukaryota; Viridiplantae; Streptophyta; Magnoliopsida; Arecales; Arecaceae. The record is from RNAcentral.
CUCUCACCGCUCUACUAUUUCAUUAUAAAUAUGAUUGGAGCCUAUGAGAUGGAAAUGAUGUGGACUUCGUUACUAUAAGAGCACAUAGUCAUAAAAAUUAGAUUACAGGAGUCCUUUGAAACCAUAUCCAUUUCAAUUCUAGAUGAGAUUAUUUAAAGAUGGAAUUUUUGGGGGGCGAUUUUACUUUUUGAAGAAUGAAGAGAUGAUGAAAUAAUAUUUUACAGAUUUUUUUGAGAAAAGAAGAAAAG